UACGGAGGAUCCAAGCGUUAUCCGGAUUUAUUGGGUUUAAAGGGUGCGUAGGCGGCUUAUUAAGUCAGGGGUGAAAGACGGUGGCUCAACCAUCGCAGUGCCCUUGAUACUGAUGAGCUUGAAUACACUUGAGGUAGGCGGAAUGUGACAAGUAGCGGUGAAAUGCAUAGAUAUGUCACAGAACACCAAUUGCGAAGGCAGCUUACUAAGGUGCAAUUGACGCUGAGGCACGAAAGCGUGGGGGAUCAAACAGG
This 254-nucleotide ribosomal RNA is filed under the name uncultured bacterium. RNAcentral describes it as "partial 16S ribosomal RNA". It matches the Rfam family "Bacterial small subunit ribosomal RNA", at positions 524 to 776 of the family's 1533-position model. The record is from RNAcentral.